GAUGAACGCUGGCGGCGUGCCUAAUACAUGCAAGUCGAGCGAACAGACGAGGAGCUUGCUCCUCUGACGUUAGCGGCGGACGGGUGAGUAACACGUGGAUAACCUACCUAUAAGACUGGGAUAACUUCGGGAAACCGGAGCUAAUACCGGAUAAUAUAUUGAACCGCAUGGUUCAAUAGUGAAAGACGGUUUUGCUGUCACUUAUAGAUGGAUCCGCGCCGCAUUAGCUAGUUGGUAAGGUAACGGCUUACCAAGGCGACGAUGCGUAGCCGACCUGAGAGGGUGAUCGGCCACACGGGAACUGAGACACGGUCAAGACUCCUACGGGAGGCAGCAGUAGGGAAUCUUCCGCAAUGGGCGAAAGCCUGACGGAGCAACGCCGCGUGAGUGAUGAAGGUCUUCGGAUCGUAAAACUCUGUUAUUAGGGAAGAACAAAUGUGUAAGUAACUAUGCACGUCUUGACGGUACCUAAUCAGAAAGCCACGGCUAACUACGUG
Molecule: ribosomal RNA, 497 nt
Filed under: uncultured bacterium
Lineage: Bacteria
Description: partial 16S ribosomal RNA
Rfam family: Bacterial small subunit ribosomal RNA
Source: RNAcentral